AGAUGGCCUGCCUAGUAAGCAGGAGAUCACGAGUUCGAGUCUCGUUGGGACCU
This 53-nucleotide transfer RNA is filed under the name Daphnia pulex (common water flea). It matches the Rfam family "tRNA", at positions 20 to 71 of the family's 71-position model. From Rfam's summary of the family: Transfer RNA (tRNA) molecules are approximately 80 nucleotides in length. Their secondary structure includes four short double-helical elements and three loops (D, anti-codon, and T loops). Further hydrogen bonds mediate the characteristic L-shaped molecular structure. tRNAs have two regions of fundamental functional importance: the anti-codon, which is responsible for specific mRNA codon recognition, and the 3' end, to which the tRNAs corresponding amino acid is attached (by aminoacyl-tRNA synthetases). tRNAs cope with the degeneracy of the genetic code in two manners: having more than one tRNA (with a specific anti-codon) for a particular amino acid; and 'wobble' base-pairing, i.e. permitting non-standard base-pairing at the 3rd anti-codon position. Lineage: Eukaryota; Metazoa; Arthropoda; Branchiopoda; Diplostraca; Daphniidae. The record is from Rfam by way of RNAcentral.